GGUGACUCACGGCGGCAGCCGCCGGGUAGCGGAUCCGAGAGCCGAGCGGCGAGCGGGCACAUCGGGCCCCGCUCUUCGCCCCCUUCCCCGGGCACCGCGUGCCGCCCGUCGCACCCCUGCCCCCUCCCCGACCCCCUGCGCUUCUGCCAAGUGGAAUAAACGCCCGGGUUUCCGGCAAACAUUCACCCUUCCGACACCGAACGGGAGGCCGCCCCCCUCCCGGCCGGCACCCCUGUGGCAGGCGGGCCGGGGUCCGUCCCCGCGGCCGGCAGCGCUCCCGGCGGCACCCGCCCCCACCUCUCCAUGCUUAUAUAACAGCUCUCAAGAGGAAGCUGCUAACAAGCCCAUCUGCUUGUUUGUGCCAGCUGUUUUAGUGGAGGCAUGCUGGAUGUGACUGAGCUCCACCUUCUUUUUUGAGAAAAUCAUUUGGAAAAUGACACAGUCUGAAGAAUAAUGGGAAUUCAAAAUCUGUCUCCAAAUUUCCUCGUGAACCAGUCUGCUCCUCUGCAUCUGCAGAAAGGGACAGAUAUUAUCUUCAUUUACAGGAAUUUUCAUGGAAAGUGAGCCUGAGCCAUGGCAGAUAAAGACCUUAUGGAUAUUUUCCCCUAAGAGGACACGUCUAACAGAUCUUAAUUCUUAUUAAAAACAAGAGUUGCAAGUGGAGCACUUGUGAUUCCUGCCUUCUACACACUGAGUAUUUUUACAGCAGUACAUCUGCAGUACUCAAGGAAUCUCCAUGAGUAGAAAGACAGUGGCAGUUCACUUUAUUUAGCAGUGUUUCUCCAUGAUGUGCUUGCUAAAAGAAGUGAGAUAUCUGGAAAAAAAUUAGACUUGUUUGUGAAAAAAACCCAAAAAACUGACCAAUAGGCUACCUAGAAAGCAUCCAGCCUGGAUCUCAGCUGCAAAGGAGAAAAUUUUUUGUGUUGUUCUUGCCCAGAGUGCUGGCCCUGCUGGACUCAACCCUCUUGCCAUCCAGUGGAUUAAAGCUGAGACCCAAGCCACCAGCAAGAUGCCAGAGCUGGAUGCAGAACUCCAGGUGGGGUCUCGUGAAGGCAGAGUAGAGGAGCAGGACCACCUCCCUUGACCUGCUGGCCACACUGCUUUGGGUGCAGCUGAAGAUGCAGUUGGCCUUCUGGAGUGUGGGCAUACCCAAGAGAGACUCCUGUUAGAAAAGCUUUGCCUGGAACAGCACAUAAUCUAUUGGCAUUUUGGAUCUGCAGGAGAAAACCAGAAUGUUUCCACCAUCAAAGGUCUCUUGGAGUUGUUGAAAGAAGGCUGGAACAGUCCUGGUUUUUGGACUUUCUUUUCUUAAGGUCUCCAUUUAGUUGAUUUUGGAAAGCAUGAAGUGUUUGAGAGGAUUAGAGACAGCAGAAGAAGAGGAAUUCAGAGUGGAGCCCUGAUUCCUGAGCUCAGUGUCCAUUGAUGCCUAAAAGUUUGCUGACUAGCUCCCAGCUCCAGGUUUCUGGGCGGGGCACUUCAGCCAAUCACAUUUGUUGAAGAAGAUCUCACAGACAUUUCAACUUGGCCUUGUUUCCUGCCAAUAGCACCUGGCAAGAGAGCUACAUGGUGUGGCCAUUAUUUCUGUGAAAAACUGCUCAGUUUUCUUCAAGCAUUUCUCCCUAUGCUGUUUUACCAUCUGUUGAUGAAUGUCACUCCAGACUCCUGAGAUGAUGUCUUGAAGCUUUCUCCUCCACUGUGUCCUGGAUGCUCAUCUCAGGAGACUUUCCAGUGAUCUGCAACAAGUGGCAACAUAGACCACGUGGAAAUGCAUCUUGCAAUAUCCUUCUUCCAGUGAAUGUUAAGUUUCUUGUGAGACCAAAGGUUUGGCUGAAUCUUUGGUAUAUUUUAACACAUCCUUACUUUAGGUCUGUGAACUAAAUUUGCAGAUUAUUUCCACUUUAAUUUUCAUUCUUAUUUCUCAGAGAAAUCCGACUAACCCCUUCUUCCUUGCUCAACAUCUGUUUGUCUUCUUUGGUGAGAAUCUGCACACUGCUCAUUGCAAUAUGGAAGCCUGAGCUGCCAGUGAAAUUUUGGUGACUAAUAACUGUUGACCUCCAUGUUCAGAAAAAAUUCAUACAUAGUGGAUUAAAUAAAUGCAUAUAUUAACAUGUGAUUAGAAAAUUCAUCCUCUGCUACUUGUCUGGGCUCGAUUGACCAUAAUCAAUGACUGAUUUAGGUCUUGGAUUCUAUAAAAAAGCCCCAAAACUCCCAACUGGUGACAUUUGCAUUUUCUUCAAAACUUUAGACAACAUAAAGAAAAGCAGUUUAAGGUUUCACCAAACUGUUGAGUUUUGAAAAAACAUUUUCCCCCUUAAUUUGAACCAUAAUUUUCUCAAAGAAAAUUGAAUUAAAAAACCAACUAACAUGUUUUUGUAAUUAAACAGAGUAUUGAGCUAUGCAAACAAUAAAGAUCCUUGUUUGAAAUUAAUUCCUGUCCUGCUUCUGGGAUUACCAGGGGAAUAAAAUUAUAGCAAAACAAAACAGAAAAACCUGCUACAGCCUAGAACUUGCACUUUACCAGAAGCAAAAGGAAAUUUAGACUCAAUAGUUUAGAGUUCUAUUCUGUCUCCAAAACGCAUGAUUUGUUAUAAAUUUGACAAUAAGAAAAAUCUCAUCACUCCUGUCAUCAGAAGACAAAGCUGUACCUCUAAUUUUUAUUCUUUACAGCUCACUUGUUUACUUUUCUUCCUCUGUACUGAAGGGACAUAUUGAGGUGAUUCUCAGGAAUGUGAACAUAAGAACAGUGCAUCAAGUCAAGAGAUAGUAAUUGUCUACAUUUUAGAGGAAAAGUUUCCUCCUAGGGCAGGAAGCUUGCCUGGAAGUAAGAAAGGUCUCAUAGAAAAGUCUGAAAACCUUUAGGUUGACUGUAUUCUUCUUUUAUAUUUAUUUGAAAAUAAAAAAGAAACAAAAAAACUCACCAACUAAACCACAAGAGGCAAAAUCUGACCUGUGAUACUGUGUUUAAAAACCCCAGAAGCUGUUUUUAGAAACAGGUCAUAUUUCCACGAACAAACAUUGCUUGUCAAUUAACAUAGUGAAACACUCAAAUUGGCUUCAGAAGGUUAAGUCUUGCAGGAUAUCAUGGUAUUAAAUAUAUCAGUUUUGGGGUCUCAGUCUUCUGAGGGUGUCAGUGUGCUGUAACUACCCAUCAAUCCUUUGCUCUGUUGAAAUCUAACCAUCUGGUUUGUGUUGAGCCUCUUGAAUAAGCUACUGCUCCCCUUGUUCUUUGUGUACAGAGCUGCCUUUUGGAACACAAUAUUUGGUCAAGUUCCUUGGCCCACAGAUUUCUUCUUCUUAUCCAGUUGUCCUGCCCCAAGUGCCCCAGUUGUGCAUGGGCUCUCAAGAGUCCAAAGUCAACAUUGUGGAGGCUUGGGCAUGCUGAGUUUGUGGUUGAGGGCACAUCCAAAUGUUGCUACAUCCCAGAUUUGGUUCAAAUACUUAGCAUAGCCCAUUUAUUCUAAUUAAAUAAAUGAUAUUUCUCCAAAGGAAAGAAGAAUGGGGAGAGAAAAUGAGCAGGGAUCAACUGCUGAAGUGUUCCCUGUGUCAAAAAACAUGAGCAUUCCUGUAACAUUACACUGACUCUGUCACCAGGGACACAGCGGCCCAGUUUCAAGUUUUUGCUCAAUGCUCCAAGAGUCCCAAGUCACAAAGCUGUGCCCAUGACUUAAUACUGCCAGCAUUAAGAAGAUUUUCUGGGGAAAAUUUUCAAGUACUUUUUUUUUUUUUUUAAUAAUGUUUUCUUCAAGUUGAAAAGUCAUAUUGCCUCCCUAAGGGCCAGAGGCUAACACGUGGAAUAGAUAUCAAUGAAUUGUUUUCAUCCUACAAGCUAAUGACCAGGUCAAAAUUCCUUUAGUCUCUUCCUUCUCGAUUGGGGAGUUUUAAAAAUAAAAUUUCUUUGCUAUGCCACCUAUUAGCUAAAUGGUUUGUUGACCAU
Zonotrichia albicollis (white-throated sparrow) is the source of this 3934-nucleotide non-coding RNA. Lineage: Eukaryota; Metazoa; Chordata; Aves; Passeriformes; Passerellidae. The record is from RefSeq and is a predicted model, not a curated record.